RNAcentral lists this ribosomal RNA (484 nucleotides) under uncultured bacterium. RNAcentral describes it as "partial 16S ribosomal RNA". It matches the Rfam family "Bacterial small subunit ribosomal RNA", at positions 30 to 507 of the family's 1533-position model. The record is from RNAcentral.
AUUGAACGCUGGCGGCAGGCCUAACACAUGCAAGUCGAGCGGAUGAAGGGAGCUUGCUCCUGUAUUCAGCGGCGGACGGGUGAGUAAUGCCUAGGAAUCUGCCUGGUAGUGGGGGAUAACGUCCGGAAACGGGCGCUAAUACCGCAUACGUCCUGAGGUAGAAAGUGGGGGAUCUUCGGACCUCACGCUAUCAGAUGAGCCUAGGUCGGAUUAGCUAGUUGGUGGGGUAAAGGCCUACCAAGGCGACGAUCCGUAACUGGUCUGAGAGGAUGAUCAGUCACACUGGAACUGAGACACGGUCCAGACUCCUACGGGAGGCAGCAGUGGGGAAUAUUGGACAAUGGGCGAAAGCCUGAUCCAGCCAUGCCGCGUGUGUGAAGAAGGUCUUCGGAUUGUAAAGCACUUUAAGUUGGGAGGAAGGGCAGUAAGUUAAUACCUUGCUGUUUUGACGUUACCAACAGAAUAAGCACCGGCUAACUUCGUG